GGGGAAUAUUGGACAAUGGGGGGAACCCUGAUCCAGCCAUGCCGCGUGUGAAGAAGGCCUUAUGGUUGUAAAGCACUUUAAGCGAGGAGGAGGCUACUCUAGUUAAUACCUAGGGAUAGUGGACGUUACUCGCAGAAUAAGCACCGGCUAACUCUGUGCCAGCAGCCGCGGUAAUACAGAGGGUGCGAGCGUUAAUCGGAUUUACUGGGCGUAAAGCGUGCGUAGGCGGCUUAUUAAGUCGGAUGUGAAAUCCCCGAGCUUAACUUGGGAAUUGCAUUCGAUACUGGUGAGCUAGAGUAUGGGAGAGGAUGGUAGAAUUCCAGGUGUAGCGGUGAAAUGCGUAGAGAUCUGGAGGAAUACCGAUGGCGAAGGCAGCCAUCUGGCCUAAUACUGACGCUGAGGUACGAAAGCAUGGGGAGCAAAC
RNAcentral lists this ribosomal RNA (424 nucleotides) under uncultured bacterium. RNAcentral describes it as "bacterial SSU rRNA". It matches the Rfam family "Bacterial small subunit ribosomal RNA", at positions 356 to 773 of the family's 1533-position model. The record is from RNAcentral.